Molecule: long non-coding RNA, 1815 nt
Filed under: Sus scrofa (pig)
Lineage: Eukaryota; Metazoa; Chordata; Mammalia; Artiodactyla; Suidae
Description: lncRNA (ENSSSCG00070005519.1)
Rfam family: Small nucleolar RNA SNORD116 (bases 1745-1815)
Source: RNAcentral
UCCUGGCCCGACGGUGACGGAGGGCUUUGAUGAGGCCCGGCGGCCGCGUGCUUGCCAGGAAGGCCCGGGGCUUGAGGCCCUGGAAGGCCUGGCCCGUUCAGGAGUCCCGGCUGUUUGGGGGAAUGUCCCACGCCCUGUGGGGAUUUGAGCCGUGUCUCCCGGCCGACUUGGGUGUCCCGGUUGGUGUGUGGUCGGGCCUGGGGGCUUGGUGCGGGCGGGAACCGCGGGUAGCGACCACGUCUCGUCAGGGGGUUCGUGCCUGCUGCUGGGCACGGGAACGGCUCCGGGGGGGUCUUACGGGCGCUGAGGGGAUUCCGCAUCAUGGAGAGGUCAAGGGGAGUUGGUGGCCGUCACCCUUCGUCAGGGCAGGGUAGCAUCAGUGCUCCCGUGCUGGGGUUCCUGGAGAGCCGGCUGGCACGGACAGACUCUUGUGAGGGCAAGUGGCUGAUCGUGCGUCGGAUGGGUCCAGCAAAGGAGAGAAAGCUUCGGGUGCGCGCGCUCGCCAGGGAAAGGGUGACAGCGGGUGGGACCGAGAGGGAGAGAGAGAGAGAGAGAAAAAGGAAGAGAGAGGGUUUCCGCAGGGGCGGUGAGUCCUGGCGGAAGUCCUGAGGCAGAGGAGGUGCCAGGGGUUUGGGUUUCCCGGUCGUGUCGGGGGUGUGGCGCAGGUUGCCCCAGUGGGCCUGAAUGUGCCUCCGUGGGGCACCUUGUUGCCGUGUUGGGGGGCGGGGAGCCGGCCUUGGGGAUCCAUCUUUCGGGCCCUGGGACGUGGGAGAAGAAUGCCGGGCCUCUCUCUGUGCCCCUGGCGCCUCUGUGCAGGCCGGGCCUGCACCACCCCCCCGCGCCCGUCCCCAGGCAGGGUCCGUGUGGCUGCAGACACCCAGAGAGAGGGGAGGCUGGGGAGGCUGGGGAGCCGUGGCAGCCCGAUGCAGUGCGGGUCUCCAGGUGGAGGGGCCCUGGUCCCCUGGCGCCAGCGUGGCCCUUCCUCCUUGUGGAAACCCUUGUGGUGUGUGUGCUCUCUCGCCCUGACCCAGGAGAGCAGCAUGGCGGACCCCUGAUCUUGUGGCGUGCCACCGCGCGAGGCCGAGGAGCUCCCGCAGCCCAGUGGGCGUGGCGUCCUUGUCGCGGCUCUGUGGAGACCUGGCGAUGGAGAGCAGCAUGGCGGACCCCUGAUCUUGUGGCGUGCCACCGAGCGAGGCCGAGGAGCUCCCGCAGAACCAGUGGGCGUGGCGUCCUUGUCGCGGCUCUGUGGAGACCUGGCGAUGGAGAGCAGCAUGGCGGACCCCUGAUCUUGUGGCGUGCCACCGCGCGAGGCCGAGGAGCUCCCGCAGACCAGUGGGCGUGGCGUCCUUGUCGCGGCUCUGUGGAGACCUGGCGAUGGAGAGCAGCAUGGCGGACCCCUGAUCUUGUGGCGUGCCACCGCGCGAGGCCGAGGAGCUCCCGCAGACCAGUGGGCGUGGCGUCCUUGUCGCGGCUCUGUGGAGACCUGGCGAUGGUGAGCGGCCCCUGUCCUCAGUGGUGGAGAACUCGCCCUUGGGGCGCUCGUCUGUCCGGAGCCCCGGGCCAGCCCCGCUUCUCGCGGGCUUUGGCCCCGGCAGGCCAGCUCCGGGGGCGUGAGGGGGAGCGUCCCGUCCUGCCCAGUGGCUCGUCUGUCUGGGCACGCCCCCAAACGCUGCCGUGAUGGAGCGGGUGGGAUGUCCAGGUGCGGAGGCCGUGAAUUUGCCUUGCGGCGGCGGAGCCCGUGCUCGGAUCGAUGAUGACUCCCUCUAAAGCAUUCCUUGGAAAUCUGAACAAAAUGAGUGAGAACUCACUACCGUC